AGGAGAACAAAAAAUGUCGUUAGUUUUUGGAAUUAUGUUAUCAGUUCAUAUAGCUGAUGAUUUUUGUAGAUUUUUUUUUCUUCCUGUAACAAGACAUCUCGACAUCUUUAUGACAUAAUGGAUUAUUUGUUUAAAAACACGGAUUAAGAGAAAAUCAACUCUGAUUCAUUACAGGAUCAGCUGUGCAAGGUUCGAAAAAGGAAUUCAAGGCUCCGAUUCAAUCUGAGGAAAAUCCAAGGGGCCAAAAUGGAUGCGUCAUAUUUGAGGACAGAUCAUACAGACUAUCUCCGUUGGAUGCCGACAUUGAAGACCAUAGCCAUCAAAACUCGGUCCACCUUGAAUCACUGAGGGCACCUAUUCAAUGUGUGGAAAAUCCAAGGGGCCAAAAUGGAUGCGUCAUAUUUGAGGACAGAUCAUACAGACGACCUCUGUUGGAUGCCAACAUCGAGGACGAUGGCCAUCAAAACCCAGUCCAUCCUGAAUCACUGAGGGCUCCUAUUCAAUGUCAGGAGAAUCCAGAGGGCCAACAUGGAUGCGUCAUAUUUGAGAGCAGUUCACAGAGUCUACCAUAUGGCCAUCGAAGCUCAGAGCAUCAUCAAGAUAAUAUAUCACCAAGGGUAAUGCAGGAAGAUGUUUUGUGAAAGCUUACAAUGCACAUGUUAUAACAUAAAAACCCCAACCUCAUAAGCAUGGGAAUUAGGUAUGAGGGACCUGAAAUAUUUUAAAACUUUUAAAAUAAUUACAGAAAUGAAUCUGAGGUGCUUAACUUUUGUUUUUAAUGUUCUAGUACAGAUAGAAAGCAAGAACCAUAAAACUAUUACAAUUUGCAGAACAUAAACUGAGGCAAAUAACAGAGGUUGUCUAGCUAGAUUGUUGUAUGAAGAUUAAUCUUCAGCUUAUGUGCCUCAUUUUUCACCUGACUGCUCUAACCUUGCUAAUGUUGCAUAUCGACCUAACAUUAAGUUUACUGGCUAGCAAAGCUUAACGUGAGCUACACUGCCUGGCCAAUAAAAAGGUCAUAUACUCGAAUAUUUCACUGGACCACCUUUAGCUUUCAUUACGCCACACAUUCACUGUGACCUUCACCUGUUUCAACAACCUUAUAUAACAUCACAACAUUUAUUUCCAUCCAGAGUUGCACUAAUUUUUCACCGAGAUCUUGUCUUGAUGACUGGAGAGUCAAUCCUCUCUGUAAAGUCUUCUCCAGCACAUCCCAAAGAUUCUCAAUGGGGUUAAGGUUGGGACUCUGUGGUGGCCAAUUCAUGUGUGAAAAUGAUUCCUUAUGAUUCUUCUUCUCCAUGCUCUCACGGAAGGUGGUUUCAUUUCUCUGCUCUCCUCUCCUCUCCUUUUUUUCCUGCUUGUGCUCUUUGUUUCGUCUCGUCUGCCUAUACUUUUUUUUUUGAGAGACUCUCUCCGCAUUGAAUUUCUAAACUAAAAAAGCAUGGAUUUGAUAAACUGGUCUCCUAAUGAAAUUGACACAGUUUCUGGGUUCGGGGGAACCCACCUGUCCUGCUGGAACAUCUAUGGAGGACAUUGGAGAUAUCUAACUAUUCGGAACCAUGAUUACCAGACUUUUGCUGAUUGGAUUAGGCAUUGCCCUGGUAUAUCGAGGAAAUUAGACAACAGUGACAGCUGUUCAAAGCCCCACAAAGCUGCCCGAUAUGAUUGAGCAGUGGGCAAAGCUGUCGGCACUCGGACUGUGGACAUUCAGAACUUUAACCACAAAAUGGUUGUUAUCUCGGAGCAGCUUUCAGCCUUGCAAGGAAUAAGUAUUUAGGAGACCAAAUGGAAUUGAAUUGAACAGAAAUGGACAGAUAUGGAUGAGUGGUGUGGAUGAAAGUACAUUUUGCAUUUAAUUUGGAAAUCACGGUUCUAGAGUCUGGAGGAAGAGUGGAGAGGCACAGAAUCCAAGGUGCUUGAAGCCCAGUGUGAAGUUUCCACAGCCUGUGAUGAUUUGGGGUGCCAUGUCAUCUGCUGGUGUUGGUCCACUGUAUAUUAUCAAGUCCAAAGUCAACACAGCCAUCUACCAGGAGAUUUUAGAGCACUUCAUGCUUCCAUCUGCUGACGAGCUUUUUGGAGAUGCUGAUUUCCUUUUCCAGCAGGACUUAGCACCUACCCACAGUGCCAAAACUACUACCAAAUAGUUUGCUGACCAUGAUAUUACUGUGUUUGAUUGGCCAGCCAACUUGCCUGACCUGAACCCCAUAGAGAAUCUAUGGUGUAUUGUCAAGAGGAAGAUGAGAAACACCCGACCCAAAAAUACAGAUAUGCUGAAGGCCACUAUCAAAACAACCUGGGCUUCAAUAACACCUCAGCAGUGCCACAGACUGAUCACCUCCAUGCCACACCGCACUGAUACAGUAAUUCAUGGUAAAGGAGCCCCAACCAAGUAUUGAGUGUAUAAAUGAAUAUACUUUUCAUAAGUUGGACAUUUCUGUAUUGUAAAUCCUUUUUUUUUUAAUUGAUCUUAGGGAAUAUUCUAAUAAUUUGAGAUACUGGAUUUCUGAUUUUCAUGAGCUAUAAGCAAUAACCAUCAAAAUUAAAACAAAAAAGGCUUUAAAUAUUUCACUUUACAUGUAAUGAAUAUAGAAUAUAUGAAAGUUUACCUUUUUGAAUUAAAUUAUGAAAAAAGGAACUUUUUCAUGGUAUUCUAAUUUUUUUUAGAUGCACUAGUAUACUGGCUAGGUGUCUAAACAUUAAAUACAAAUCAGACACUCACAUGGACUUUACCUCACACAGGCUAGUUACAUCUGAGAAUAGCUGAACUCAAUCUGAGUUGUGUAUGAGACCAUUUUUUAUGUGUACUGUGUAUCUGUCAUUCUCAGAACUAUGUGGCAUGUCAGUGUUUAGUAUGUGUCAUAUCUCAUAUUGUGUUGCAGGUUUCAGUUCAGUGUCAGGAGGAUCAGCAUGUGCUGCAUGGAUUAAUCGAUCAAUUAAACCAUCUCAUACAACCUCUUGUGGAAGAAGACAGUGAGGAUGAGUGGAUCCAUGAAGAUUUUUUAAUUAUGUACAUAACCUGAUAUAUUAAAUGCUAUAUACUGAUUUUGUAUUAAAGUCUUUCAUUUAUGUGUUA
This is a long non-coding RNA of Neoarius graeffei (lesser salmon catfish), 3073 nucleotides long. RefSeq lists it as uncharacterized. NCBI's taxonomy places the organism in Eukaryota, Metazoa, Chordata, Actinopteri, Siluriformes, Ariidae. The transcript has 4 exons. The record is from RefSeq and is a predicted model, not a curated record.